Molecule: transfer RNA, 72 nt
Filed under: Lodderomyces parapsilosis
Lineage: Eukaryota; Fungi; Ascomycota; Pichiomycetes; Serinales; Debaryomycetaceae
Also listed under: 1 other name
Description: tRNA-Asp
Rfam family: tRNA
About the family: Transfer RNA (tRNA) molecules are approximately 80 nucleotides in length.
Source: RNAcentral
UCCCAGAUAGUUUAGUGGCUAGAAUUACCGUUUGUCGCAUGGUAGACCAGGGUUCAAUUCCCUAUCUGGGAG